Paramuricea clavata is the source of this 240-nucleotide non-coding RNA. Lineage: Eukaryota; Metazoa; Cnidaria; Anthozoa; Malacalcyonacea; Plexauridae. The record is from the annotation of a GenBank genome assembly.
CAACUAUAUGGCUUAUAACAAUCGCUUUCAAAAGAUGAUCAGAUGAUCAAACUGAUUAUCAGUUUCCCAUUUGUAAUACAAAAUGACUGAAAAAUGGCAAACUUCGCAAGGCUAUAUUAUCCGCAUUUUACAACAUUUUGCAACGAAACUUCGGAAUAUUACUAAUUUUGUGAUGCUCUUUCAAGUUGUGAUGAAAUUUUUGUCCAGGCUUGUCUAGAUCAAAAUUUCACUUAAAAGGGG